UCAUCUCCCUUCCUGUUUAUUAUUUUAUUGAUCACGCCUCUCUUUUCACUUGUGUUGCUCUCCAUCUUCCUCUCCUCUUUCUUCUCCCUAGGUAUCUAGUCUGCUCGGGGACCCAUCCAGGCUGCUGAUGCAGAAGGCGUUGUCUUUGCGACCUCCAGGUCUUGUGCCGCUGGGCAAAGGCCUCCUGGGAGACUCCCCUACUGAGUUGGGCCAGGAACCGGUGCCAGCGUCUACCCAUAAUGCCUCAGUGAUGUUAUCAGCGGCAGGUGUGAUGCCAUACCUUCAGGGUCGAGCAGCAGCAGGAGAACAAAACAGCACCCAUUCCAUCUCCACAACCCCUUCUGCUUCCUCCUCUUCUUCCUCCACCACCUCCUGCUCACAGCCUGCUCCGCCUGGGACGAUGGUGAGCUCCCAGCUGCAGGGACAGAGCUACUCCUUGGGUCUAAGUAACUCAGGCCUUGGCCCACCUCCACCUAAACCCCCUGGAGGGGUUUAUACAUCAGCAGGCCAGCACAACAGUGCAGAUGGAUGCCCCCUGGCUGGCAUGGUAAGCAGUGGUCAGAGUUCUCUGUUGGGAGAUCCUCCUAAAGAAGUCAGGCUGCCCUCUAAUCCUUACCUGAACCUGGCCAG
RNAcentral lists this long non-coding RNA (630 nucleotides) under Echeneis naucrates (live sharksucker). Its description in RNAcentral is "lncRNA (ENSENLG00000009714.1)". The record is from RNAcentral. Lineage: Eukaryota; Metazoa; Chordata; Actinopteri; Carangiformes; Echeneidae.